Long non-coding RNA from Amblyraja radiata (thorny skate), 132 nucleotides. RefSeq lists it as uncharacterized. NCBI's taxonomy places the organism in Eukaryota, Metazoa, Chordata, Chondrichthyes, Rajiformes, Rajidae. The record is from RefSeq and is a predicted model, not a curated record. The transcript has 3 exons.
AACACCCACGCAGGUCACAUAGAGAACGUACAAACUCCACACUGACAGGACGCGUGGUCAGGAUCGAACCCGGAUCUCUGGCGCUGCGAGGAAGCAAGUCUACCCGCUGCGUCACAUUCUCGCCAGUAAAAC